CCUACGGGAGGCAGCAGUGGGGAAUAUUGGGCAAUGGGCGCAAGCCUGACCCAGCAACGCCGCGUGAAGGAAGAAGGCUUUCGGGUUGUAAACUUCUUUUAAGAGGGAAGAGCAGAAGACGGGACCACUGGAAUAAGCCACGGCUAACGACGUGCCAGCAGCCGCGGUAAUACGUAGGUGGCAAGCGUUGUCCGGAUUUACUGGGUGUAAAGGGCGGGCAGCCGGGAAGACAAGUCAGAUUUGAAAUCCCGCGGCUCAACCGCGGAACGGCAUUUGAAACUGUUUUUCUUGAGUACCGGAGAGGUCAUCGGACUUCCUUUUGUAGCGGUGCAAUGCUUCGCUAUCCGGUA
Molecule: ribosomal RNA, 350 nt
Filed under: uncultured bacterium
Lineage: Bacteria
Description: partial 16S ribosomal RNA
Rfam family: Bacterial small subunit ribosomal RNA
Source: RNAcentral